AACGAACGCUGGCGGCAGGCUUAACACAUGCAAGUCGAACGCCCCGCAAGGGGUGUGGCCGACGGGUGAGUAACGCGGGGGAACAUACCCUUUCCUGCGGAAUAGCUCCGGGAAACUGGAAUUAAUACCGCAUACGCCCUACGGGGGAAAGAUUUAUCGGGGAAGGAGUGGCCCGCGUGGGAUUAGCCAGUUGGUGGGGUAAAGGCCUACUAAGGCGACUAUCGAUAGAUGGGCUGAGAGGAAGAUCAGCCACAUUGGGACUGAGACACGGCGCAAACUCCUACGCGAGGCAGCAGUGGGGAAUAUUGGCAAAUGGGGGGUAGCAAGAAGCACCCAUGACGGGUGAGUGAUGAAGGCCUUAGGGUUGUAAAGCUCUUUAACAGAUGACGAUAAUGACGGUAGUAGGAGAAGAAGCACCGGCUAACUUCGUG
Molecule: ribosomal RNA, 431 nt
Filed under: uncultured bacterium
Lineage: Bacteria
Description: partial 16S ribosomal RNA
Rfam family: Bacterial small subunit ribosomal RNA
Source: RNAcentral